Long non-coding RNA from Alligator mississippiensis (American alligator), 816 nucleotides. RefSeq lists it as uncharacterized. The record is from RefSeq and is a predicted model, not a curated record. The transcript has 3 exons. Lineage: Eukaryota; Metazoa; Chordata; Crocodylia; Alligatoridae.
AAGAGCACUGAAGGUUUGUAAAGGGGCAAGUAAGUCCUGCCACUUCUGUUCUGUGCCACUUCAGAGAUCUGAAUGUCGUGGAAUCGGUCCAGUUCCAGUGUUUUCAACUUUAUAUCCAUGGAAAGCUUUUCGGUGUUGUUGGGUCGAGAAAGGAAAGUUUAAAUUUUGCAACAUGGAUACCAUGACUUCUGAAACCGGAGCACCUGCCUGUUGGGCUGCUGCAUCAAUGGCAACAAGCAAAAGAGCUCAAGUAGCUAGUAAACUCCUUGGAGAGGCGCAUGUAUCCCAUGGUGUCACAACACUGCACUGGCUGUUGGUGGUGAGGCUCAGAUGCAGACGUUUGUCCAGCGGUUAAGAGACAGGCUGGUUGAUAACAAGCACUGAAGAAUGCAAAUUCCUCUUCUUCACCAGAACAGGAACAGGGCACUUUGGGACUAGGGUCCCAUGAACCACUGGGACUUCUAAACGUCGUGUGUGUGAGUGUUGCAGGAUGACAGCCAACAUGGAAGCAACUGUGACCACCGGAAACCUGAGAUCCUGCUCCUGCCUUUGUUUCAAGGUAAUCUGCAUCAUCAGAGAUCCUCGCAGGAGGUGAGAGGCUCCAUACCAGCUAUGAACCAACUGCCCAGAGGAGUUUUUCAUCUAUUGACCCCUUUGUGAAAUCCUAUGAAAUAUGAACUUUCAUUUCUACCCAGGAGAACUUUUACAAUCUUUUCUCCAAUGCUUGAUGAAGGGUGUUUGUGCCUGAAAGUUUGCGAUUAAAGCAAUUUUUUUUUUGCAAAAAUCUUGCUGGUCUAAUAAAAGAUAUCAUCUCUG